GCCCGGCCAAUAAUUUUUUUUUUUUUUAAAGAGAAAUACACAUAUGUAGAAAAAGACCAGAAGGAAAUGUUGGCAGCGCUCGACUCUUGGUGGUGAAAUUACAGAUCUUUAUUUAAUUUUUCUUCUUUGUGCUUUUGUGUAUCUCCUACAUUUUCCACAAUGCACAUAGCACUUUUACAAUCAGGGAGUAACAACAAAAAAUGCAAUGUAAAUCCUGAGAGGAGCUAUCACCUGCAUUUGGGCUCUUCCGGGGAUGGUCCAGGGGAAGUGGAUUUUAGCACAGCCUGGAAGGUUGGGAGAAUGUGAACUAGGGAGAGGAGCCAGGUAAAGCCUUUUUUGUUCCUUGGUUUUUGUCUGUCUCCUCUAGACUACGGGUUCCUUGAGGGCAGGAUCUGUGGUCUGGCUUGUUCACUGCUGUAUCCCUAGCAUCUUACAAAACAAAAGCCUGGUGCUUAGUAGGUGAUCAAUAAAUACAAAUCUAGUUAAUGAAUACAUGACCUUGACAGCUCUGCUUAGCCUAGGAGACAAGGAUAUUCUCAGUUCGCUGUCCAGCUGGUCUGCUGCCAAAACUGAGGUGCAUGGUUUCCAUGGCAACAGAAGAGGGCCCGACAGGCCAGCAGCAGGAGGCAGAUGCAGGGAUUGUGAGCUCUGCAUGUUUUCAAGGUGUGGCCUAGAAAUCCGGAACAUGGCGGUGGGUUCUUUCAAUAGAUGUUGAGAGAAAAAAAGCUUCAUAAAUACGGCUAACUCAGUUGUUCACCAGGCAGGUUUCUAAGUCAAUUAAUGAAAACUCGGGCAAGUAGUCGAGGUCUUUAAAGGUGACAUGGGAGGCUCUUAGUGUUUGAAAGUCUAGGAACUCAGGAAAGUUUGGUUUUAGUCUGGAUCCUGACUAAGGGUGUGACCCUGGGCAAGUUACUUAACCUCUCUGGGCCUCAGCAUGCUCAUUCAUAAAAUGAGAGGUUUGACCAGCACUAAAAUUAUUUAUAAAAACAUGUGUGGUAGGAAUGCAAAAUGGUACAGUCACUGUGGAAGAGUUUGGUGGUUCCUCAGUAAGUUAUACAUAGAACCAUCAUAUGACCCAGCAAUUCCACUCCUAGGUAUACACCCAAGAGAACUGAAGAUAGGCACUCAAAUACAUACUUGUGCACAAAUGUUCAUAGUUGCACUAUCCAUAAUAACCAAAAGGCCACCAAUGGAUGAAUGGAUAAAGGUAGUAUAUCCAUACAAUGGUGUAUCAUUCAGCCAGUCAUAAAAAGGAACAAAGUAUUUAUACAUGCUACAACAUGAAUGAACCUUGAAAACAUUACGUUAAGUGAAACAAGCCAGACUCAAAAGGUCACAUACAGUAUUGUAUAAUUCCAACUAAAUAAAAUAUCCAGUCUGGGCUUAGAACACAGAUCUCCUGGCU
This 1405-nucleotide long non-coding RNA is filed under the name Homo sapiens (human). RNAcentral describes it as "HSALNT0277007". Lineage: Eukaryota; Metazoa; Chordata; Mammalia; Primates; Hominidae. The record is from RNAcentral.